AUGUGAAAUGUUAAUGCACAAGGGUGACUACCUUUUCCAUUCAUUCAUAGCUUUUAUCUCCUUUUCUUAAUUGCUUUCACAUGUAAUGAGUUCCCUUCCAACUUUGACGAGGCAUGCUUCAUGUGAUUUAUGGUAAUAAUGUGUUUUGUCUUCUCUGAUAUCUACUUUGAGGUUCCACUGAGAAUAAAUGGCAUCCUUCUCAAAUCCCAUCUCUGAUUAUUUUCCUUAUAGACUAAAAUAAAUUGCCUUCUAUUUUACAGCAUUCAAAAAGCUUUUGUUUGUUGAUGGGUUCUUAUUGAUUUGAAUUUGAGAAUUGGUGAAUCUGAGAUAUGUUG
Molecule: long non-coding RNA, 335 nt
Organism: Telopea speciosissima
Lineage: Eukaryota; Viridiplantae; Streptophyta; Magnoliopsida; Proteales; Proteaceae
Exons: 3
Source: RefSeq, a predicted model, not a curated record